RNAcentral lists this ribosomal RNA (492 nucleotides) under uncultured bacterium. RNAcentral describes it as "partial 16S ribosomal RNA". It matches the Rfam family "Bacterial small subunit ribosomal RNA", at positions 28 to 523 of the family's 1533-position model. The record is from RNAcentral.
GACGAACGCUGGCGGCGUGCCUAACACAUGCAAGUCGAGCGGGAACCUCUCGAGGGGUAACCCUUGGGAGGGGAGAGCGGCGAACGGGUGAGUAACACGUGGGCAACCUGCCCCGGACACCGGGAUAACCCAGGGAAACCUGAGCUAAUACCGGAUACUCCGGCGUGCUCGCAUGGUCGCGCCGGGAAAGCUCCGACGGUCCGGGAUGGGCCCGCGGCCUAUCAGCUUGUUGGCGGGGUAACGGCCCACCAAGGCGACGACGGGUAGCUGGUCUGAGAGGACGGCCAGCCACACUGGGACUGAGAGACGGCCCAGACUCCUACGGGAGGCAGCAGUGGGGGAUCUUGCGCUAAUGCGCGAAAGCGUGACGCAGCGACGCCGCGUGGGGGAUGAAGGCCCUCGGGUUGUAAACCCCUUUCGGCAGGGACGAAGCGAAAGUGACGGUACCUGCAGAAGAAGUCCCGGCUAACUACGUGCCAGCCGCCGCCGUAA